GGAAAUGUGCCCGAAAAAUAAGGACCUCCUUGAUAGGGAGAACAAUAGAGGCUAAAUCCCUCUCAUUUCCU
Molecule: transfer RNA, 71 nt
Filed under: Adelphobates galactonotus (splash-backed poison frog)
Lineage: Eukaryota; Metazoa; Chordata; Amphibia; Anura; Dendrobatidae
Description: tRNA-Ile
Source: RNAcentral